GGGUAGCAAGAAAAUCUGGUGUCAAACAUAUUUUAACCAAUGAAACCAGAUGCUCCGCAGGGCACAGCUUUAUACGACUGCAGAGGUUGAACCCUGAACGGUUGGGGCAAGUAUGGACACAACAUUCAAGCUGGAUUCAGCUCUAAAUUUGGAUUGUGAUUAAAUAGUUGACACAGCAUAGGUUUCUGACACAUAAUGAAUGUGGUCUAAUGAACUUAAAAUUUUUUUUGCCUUUGAGCAAUUCACUAUGCUGUUGAAUAUUAAUCCUCUCAAAAAAAAUGUUUGAAGAAAUUUUCUUUUUAGAAAUCUGAAAUGAAAAAAAUUGAACCCCCCCCCCCUCCAAUUUUUUUUUCACAUCCCCCUUUCCCUUAUUCCAAAACUGAUCUCAAUUCAAAUUUCUAAUGGAGUUUGCAACAAUAACUAC
This 424-nucleotide long non-coding RNA is filed under the name Mytilus galloprovincialis (Mediterranean mussel). Lineage: Eukaryota; Metazoa; Mollusca; Bivalvia; Mytilida; Mytilidae. The record is from RNAcentral.